This 429-nucleotide ribosomal RNA is filed under the name uncultured bacterium. RNAcentral's name for it is "bacterial SSU rRNA". It matches the Rfam family "Bacterial small subunit ribosomal RNA", at positions 355 to 776 of the family's 1533-position model. The record is from RNAcentral.
UGGGGAAUCUUGCGCAAUGCGCGAAAGCGUGACGCAGCAACGCCGCGUGGAUGAAGAAGGCCUUCGGGUUGUAAAGUCCUUUCAGUUGGGACGAAGGUCAGACGGUGAAUAGCCGCUCUGAUUGACGGUACCUUCAGAAGAAGCCCCGGCUAACUACGUGCCAGCAGCCGCGGUAAUACGUAGGGGGCAAGCGUUGUCCGGAAUCAUUGGGCGUAAAGCGCGUGUAGGCGGUUCGAUAAGUCUGCUGUGAAAGUCCAGGGCUCAACCCUGGGAUGCCGGUGGAUACUGUCGGGCUAGAGUGCGGAAGAGGCGAGUGGAAUUCCUGGUGUAGCGGUGAAAUGCGCAGAUAUCAGGAGGAACACCAAUUGCGAAGGCAGCUCGCUGGGACGUUACUGACGCUGAGACGCGAAAGCGUGGGGAGCAAACAGG